GAUGAACGCUAGCGGCAGGCUUAACACAUGCAAGUCGAGGGGCAGCGCGGGUAGCAAUACCUGGCGGCGACCGGCGAAAGGGUGAGUAACGCGUGAGCAACGUGCCCGUAUGUGGGGGAUAGUCAUUAGAAAUGAUGCGUAAUACCCCGUAACACAAGGAAUCGCAUGGUUCUUUGUUGAAAGAUUCAUUGCAUACGGAUCGGCUCGCGUGCCAUUAGGUAGACGGCGGGGUAACGGCCCACCGUGCCGACGAUGGCUAGGGGUUCUGAGAGGAAGGUCCCCCACAUUGGAACUGAGACACGGUCCAGACUCCUACGGGAGGCAGCAGUGAGGAAUAUUGGACAAUGGCCGGAAGGCUGAUCCAGCCAUGCCGCGUGCGGGAAGGCGGCCCUAUGGGUUGUAAACCGCUUUUGCGGGGGAGCAAUAAGGUGCACGUGUGCACCGAUGAGAGUACCCUGCGAAUAAGCAUCGGCUAACUCCGUGCCAGCAGCCGCGGUAAUACGGAAGGUCCGGGCGUUAUCCGGAUUUAUUGGGUUUAAAGGGAGCGCAGGCGGACUGCUAAGCGUGCCGUGAAAGCGCGGGGCUCAACCCCGUACAGCGGCGCGAACUGGCGGUCUUGGUUGCGGGAAGGGGAGGCGGAACUCGUGGUGUAGCGGUGAAAUGCAUAGAUAUCACGAAGAACUCCGAUCGCGAAGGCAGCCUCCCGGCCCGCCAACGACGCUCAUGCUCGAAGGCGCGGGUAUCAAACA
Molecule: ribosomal RNA, 749 nt
Filed under: uncultured bacterium
Lineage: Bacteria
Description: bacterial SSU rRNA
Rfam family: Bacterial small subunit ribosomal RNA
Source: RNAcentral